GCGCUCGUAGCUCAAUUGGAUAGAGCAACGGAUUUCUAAUCCGUAGGUUAGGGGUUCAAGUCCCUUCGGGCGUA
Molecule: transfer RNA, 74 nt
Filed under: Planctomycetaceae bacterium
Lineage: Bacteria; Pseudomonadati; Planctomycetota; Planctomycetia; Planctomycetales; Planctomycetaceae
Description: tRNA-Arg
Rfam family: tRNA
About the family: Transfer RNA (tRNA) molecules are approximately 80 nucleotides in length. Their secondary structure includes four short double-helical elements and three loops (D, anti-codon, and T loops).
Source: RNAcentral